CGCGACUGGGUGGGGCGGAGCCAGGUGGACCGAACAAAGAACGAACGAAGGCGGGGAGUCAGGAGAACCGCUGCAUUAGUGGGGCUGGUAGCUUGUCAGCCGGGAAGCCGUAGCUAUGGUGUCUAGGUUUGGCUUAGCUGUCUGUCUAGAUUAGAAGAUUAUUAUUGCAGUUGUUACAAGCAGUAAUUGCUGGCAAGAUGGCUGCGAGGAUAUCUUCGACGCUCGUUAUUUAUUUAAAUAUAAAACCACCACAACCAAGGCGCAUGUCCCAGGAAAAGUGUUGUCAGUGAUGCAGUAGUCAGAGCUAAAGAUAAGGAGAAACAGUGGUCUGCAAAAGCCUAAUGAAUGCCAGGAAGCCACUCAGGACAAAGAAGGGAGUUGCUGGGAACUGGAAAGCGAGAGCCCACUAGCGGCAGUGGGUGCUUCUAGACGAGGUACUUCGUCUGGGAUUGUCACACUUCGUUCACUCAGUUUUUACGGAUGAUCACCUGAAGCUCUGCUCCAUCUGUUGUCCACCCGUAUUAUUCUGAAGCUUAAAUCAUCACAUUUAUUAAUGAAGGAAAUCCAGCUUUUGAAAAACACACAGGUAGAAGAGCAAGGCAAUAACCACAGGUGCAGGCAGCCCUCCAACUUUUAUAGAUGGUCAGACAAACCACAAGGAGAGCCCACAGCAUGACCAGCAGCAGUGCCCAGUGUGACUCUAGUUGUUUCUUUAAGGAGUUGCCAACUUACUUGUUCUAGCUGGCCUCAGGAUUGGACCCCUCUGCUACCUGGCCUCAUGGUCUACAACUGCACUGCUCUCUGACCAUGAAGUACCUCUCUGGUGGAAGAGAGGCAGCCUACCUUCUUGGGGCUCACCAGCAACCAGAUAAGUGUUGUAAUGGUAAAUUGGGGUGUGUGUGUGUGCGCGCGCCCGCGCAUGCCAAUAAGGGCUGUUAGGCAGUAAGGCAAAUUAGCAUGGGAUGUGCAUGGCUAAAUGGGAAAGCUGGCAUAAAAGGCAAGUCUAGUGAUGUGAGACCCAGGUGAUUCGCUAAUGCAGUGUUCUGAUUGGCUGAGACACUGCAAUCUUUGUGCCUGUGUGUGGGGAACUCUCUCUCAUCUCCUGGGGAUCACAGCCAGAGCUCAAAUCUAUUAUCCUUUCCCCAGGAGACCUGUGCUGCAACUUUGCGGGUGGGGGGCUGUACAGAGAUAAAAUUAAUGCUCUGUAACGUGUCUUUUUCUGUCUCCUGCUUGGUUAGAGAUCUGUUCUGCAGUAUCUGUAUAGUGGGGUUUGAGAGCUACGUGUUCUCCCUCUUUUGCUUCUGUCAUGGUUAUUGCUGGCCAGUCAUGCAAAAGGAAGUUAUAUAAACAAACGCAGAUGUGCCCAAAUGAUGGAUGGGUGACAGGAAUCUUGCAUCCAAGUCUAUAGGCUACUGUCAGAGUUAGCAACUUGUGCACGUACAUAUCAGCGAUUAAAAAACCAUUGCCCUAUUUGCUGUCAAGAAUCUCAGAAACGGCUUCAGAACCACAUCCAGAAGAGCAGUCGCUGAUCAUGCUGCAGAGCAGAGGAAGAUGACAAUAGUGUAUUCCCUGCCCUCGCCCACCUCAUGAGAAAUUGGCAAGGAAAACAAAGAUCCUAUUAUAACUUCACCUUUGAAAUAACCCCUGUUGUCCAGUAACACGCCCCCCCCCCACGCCCUUUCCCCCUGCAGCUAUUAAAAUGAACUGUCAAUCGCGU
Molecule: long non-coding RNA, 1717 nt
Organism: Hemicordylus capensis (graceful crag lizard)
Lineage: Eukaryota; Metazoa; Chordata; Lepidosauria; Squamata; Cordylidae
Exons: 5
Source: RefSeq, a predicted model, not a curated record